CUGUGCCUAUACAGUUUUAAAAAUAUGUAAAUUAUUACUAUGUGUUUUAUAAAUAUAUGCCACACAUAGGUGGUUGUAAUAUUUAAGUAUGUUUGGGGAUAACAAACAUUGAAGUCAGAAUAAUCAUUACCCCCGGAGAGAGAGGGAGGAGGAGAAAUGACUUGGCAGAAAUUCAAGGAGAGAUUCAACUCCAUCUGAAAUAUUUUCUUAUCUAAAAAGAAAUCUGAAGCAAACAUAAGCAUGGUCUGAUUUGGUAAAGUUCAGUAUUGGGAUAUGGGUGUUUGCUAUACAGGGUUGUUAUUCUAGCAUUUUAUAAUAAAUGCAUUUGAAGCAGUUUGUCCGUCACAGGAUCCAGCACAUCUGAGUUUGCACAAUCACUCUCCCCUCUAGGCACCAUUCACGGCAACUCCCAUUAUAAUUAUGGCAACCAGAGUGCAGCUUGCUGUGCCUAGCUCCGGAGGGAAAGUCGGCUGGUGAGAUGGAUCAGAUGUUUAAUGGCACUAACCUAAGAAAAUCUAAGGUUACAGAAAGUCUUGCUGUUGGGCUGAUUGGAGCCUUUGCCCCGGCACGUGCUCCUCGGUGUGCUGCGUUUCUCCCAGCCCUGAAUCAGGACACUGAGCUUCGUUUCCCUGGCUGGCAUGGAGGAGUGGGAAGAAUCCUGACGCUGGAGUCUGGAAGGCUGCGUUCCAACCCGGCUCCUCUCCACUCCUGGGCUCAGAGGGCCAGAGCACCUUGUGGGGCCACCUGGGGUGUGCUGGGUGCAGCGGGACCCCUCUGCCAUGCCCUGGUUCCUUGUCCUCCCUCUCUUCUACGUUCCACUCCCUACACACUUGUGUGUAAUUGAACUCUUAUUGGCAGAAUAAAGCAAGGAGGGCUUCCGGGAGAUGGGAAGCGGUGGAGUGGGAAACUCCUCACGUGCCCAGGAGCUCCAUGCGUAAGUGCAGAAAUGAGCCACUAAACUGUGGUGCCUUUUUCAGAAAGCAACUUCCUCCUUUUCCUUGACUUUUGGAGACUAAAUAUGGCAAAUGCCUUCUGGUGCCCCUUCCGUGGUGCUUGUUAAUUAGCCCAGAGGCAUUUUCUGUUGGUGAUCCCUGUCACCUCCUUUCCCGCUCUGUGCAGGCUUUGUCUGAAGACCAGGAGGAAGAAGAAACUUUUAGUGUCUCCAACCUGUGCAGGGCUGGGAGCUGCUGAGGCCUCGUUCUUGGGGGUGGCAUGGUGUGAGAAGGAUAUGUAAGCUUUUGGGGCGCCUGGCAUCAGCCAGUAACCUGGCACUCUCACCUGUUUUCAGCUUUGGAGGCUAUAAAACCUGCCCAAAAGAUGUGCCGUGAGUGCUGCUCCAUCAUUUCACUGUCACUGGAGAUGAAAGGAUGGGAAAAAUGAUGCAAGAAGUUCUCACUGCCAUUCUUUUAUUUGCUCUGACAUUAAAAAAAAAAAAAAAGGUAGAGCUUGCAUUUCUUACAUGCCCAACUGUUGUUUUUAAAACUUCCUAGAAAUUUGGAAAAGUGUCUUUGACACCUGCAUUUUUUUUUUUUUUUUUUUUUGAAAGAUGGAGUUUCGCUCUUGUUGCCCAGGCUGGAGUGCAGUAGUAUGAUCUUGGCUCACUGCAACCUCUGCCUCCUGGGUUCAAGCGAUUCUCCUGCCUCAGCCUCCAAAGUAGCUGGGAUUAAAGGCAUGUGCCACCACAUCCAGCUUAUUUUUGUAUUUUUAGUAGAGACAGGGUUUCACCAUGUUGGUCAGGCUGGUCUCAAACUCCUGACCUUGUGAUCCACCCACUUUGGCCUCCCAAAAUGCUGGGAUUACAGGCAUGAGCCACCGUGCCCAGCCCGACACCUGCAUUUUUAAACUGUGCUGGAGACAGUGCACCUCUGUGAUGGGGCUGGCAGGGGCUGGGGUUUGCCCAGGCUCAGGGCUGGGGUGCCACCUCCCUUGUCCUGGCCACUGCCCUUUAGGGGAUGACAUUCAUCGUCCUCAUUCUGGAAAUGAGGAAAUGGAGGCUUAGGACCUAUGUCAGUCAUCGAUUGCUGUAUAACCACCUUCUCAAAAUUCAGUGGCUUCAAACAACCUCUGUUGAUUUUGCCCUAGAGGCUGUGGCCCCCUGGGCAGCCCUCCGGGAUGAGGCUGAGCUGAUUCAGGCUUCAAGGUCAGGUCAGAAUGGCCUCCUGCAGGGAUGUAGAGCUCGGUGGAUGACAGGAUCACUGGGCCUUUUCCUGCUUCCUCCAGCCUGGUGGCCCCAGCUCCUCCAAAUGUGGUGAGAGGGUUACCAGGGGAGCACAUGGCAGUGAGCAGGAACUCCCCAGAUCUCAGCCAUGUCACUCCUUAUCAUCCCAGUGGCCAAAGUGAUCCUCUAGCCAACACCAGGGGAAGUGGGAAGGGGAGGUAGUCAGGGAGGUAAAGAAAGGGAGGCAGGGCGGGUGGCCUACAACAGGGAGGUUGAGUAACUUAACCCAGUCCAGGUGAGGAGGAACUGGGAUUCGAACCCACAUGCUUCCUUUGACCACUGAGGCCUGAUCACUCAAAUCCUAGAUGGGCAGAGCUCAAGACCCAGGUGUUGGACUUGGACAGCUUGGGUUAGACUUUCUAUUGCCAGACUCAGUUCCUUCUCUUCUUGCUCUUAGAAGUGGACGUUAAGAGCUAGUCGCCUGGUGUGAAGUGCCAAUCCUCGAGUGGAAGAUGCAGAAAGGUGCAGAGUUUUGCUUUGCCAUAGUUCACCUUGUCCAAUUCAGCUUCUAGAGCCCCUGUGCCACUUGUUGGAUUGACUAUUUAAGUGAGACCCCCGUGCCCCCAUAAACUCCCUUAUAGUUCCCCAUCCUGAAGACGGGAUUUUGUAGCCCAAACGCAGAGUCAAAAGUUUCUAAGUGCCCUGCCCGGCUUUCCCCUUAAGUUGUCCGGAUAUGCACCGUGAGUUGACAACCUCACCGGAUUGAUUCUGGUGUGGAAAAUAGGUGCCUUUAAAGAGGGGCUCUGUGGUGGUGGCUCUGGAGUGCCUGCAGUUCCUGUGCCUGGCGCCUCUGCCCUUGAAGGGCAGUGUGAAACCUGGGAGGGCGGGCGUUUCAGGCUCCUCUCUGAAGGAUGCAGUCGGGCCUCUGAUAGGUUACCUUAAUUACACCAUUUCCUCCUCCCUGUACACACUUCCAAAAUCUAAUUAUAGUACAUGUGACACCCUGUGACCAGCCAGAAGCCAGAGAUUAAUAUAAAGUCACAGCAGGACAGUUUGCUCCCUGAAGCGGUUUACAUGGCAUUGCAAAUAUAGUCCUCAAGGAUUUGGAGCUGAUAUUUGGAUGCAUUCAUCAUCACGUUAGCAUGUGAAGCAGGCGGGCUCUAUGGGAUCUGAUUCAACGUCCAUGGGAGGAAGGGCUGGGGUUUAUUCCCAUUGGCCCGUGCUGCUGUCCUUCUGGAGUCUGACAUUGGUAUCCUUGGGGUUUGACAUCUAUUCUGAGGGGCCUUAUCCCUUUGAUAAUAUGUCCCAAUUAAUUCUAUGUCUCCCUCCUCUGAAGGAGCGAGCCUGGUGCCUGUUAGGACCUGUGGGUCCGUCUACAGGGGUGCACUUGGCCACUCUCCUGGGUGUGCUAUCUCUGCCCAGAUAAAGGAUAUUGUGUGCAGGCAUUUGAGUUGGGAGCAUUUGUUUAUCUCUGUCCCUGCAGCUUUAUUUAGCCUGGAGCUCCAUACCGGGUGCUCACAGCCACUCAGCUGCCAGAAGAACUUGCCCCGGAGUGGGACUCUGAGG
This 3724-nucleotide long non-coding RNA is filed under the name Macaca mulatta (Rhesus monkey). RNAcentral describes it as "lncRNA (ENSMMUG00000054790.1)". Lineage: Eukaryota; Metazoa; Chordata; Mammalia; Primates; Cercopithecidae. The record is from RNAcentral.